UGGGGAAUUUUGGACAAUGGGGGAAACCCUGAUCCAGCCAUCCCGCGUGUGCGAUGAAGGCCUUCGGGUUGUAAAGCACUUUUGGCAGGAAAGAAACGUCAUGGGUUAAUACCCCGUGAAACUGACGGUACCUGCAGAAUAAGCACCGGCUAACUACGUGCCAGCAGCCGCGGUAAUACGUAGGGUGCAAGCGUUAAUCGGAAUUACUGGGCGUAAAGCGUGCGCAGGCGGUUCGGAAAGAAAGAUGUGAAAUCCCAGAGCUCAACUUUGGAACUGCAUUUUUAACUGCCGGGCUAGAGUGUGUCAGAGGGAGGUGGAAUUCCGCGUGUAGCAGUGAAAUGCGUAGAUAUGCGGAGGAGCACCGAUGGCGAAGGCAGCCUCCUGGGAUAACACUGACGCUCAUGCACGAAAGCGUGGGGAGCAAACAGG
RNAcentral lists this ribosomal RNA (429 nucleotides) under Acidobacteriota bacterium. Its description in RNAcentral is "Acidobacteria bacterium partial 16S ribosomal RNA". It matches the Rfam family "Bacterial small subunit ribosomal RNA", at positions 355 to 776 of the family's 1533-position model. Lineage: Bacteria; Pseudomonadati; Acidobacteriota. The record is from RNAcentral.